AUAAUGGCUUGGCCAAAUGGUUAUGCUGUCCGCACCGUAAGCGGAAGAUCAUGGGUUCGAUUCCCAUCUGUUCCA
Molecule: transfer RNA, 75 nt
Filed under: Culex quinquefasciatus (southern house mosquito)
Lineage: Eukaryota; Metazoa; Arthropoda; Insecta; Diptera; Culicidae
Description: tRNA-Thr
Source: RNAcentral